RNAcentral lists this unclassified non-coding RNA (219 nucleotides) under uncultured Tomentella. Its description in RNAcentral is "sequence contains ITS2". The record is from RNAcentral. Lineage: Eukaryota; Fungi; Basidiomycota; Agaricomycetes; Thelephorales; Thelephoraceae.
ACACCUCAACUCUCAUGGUUUGCCGUGAUGAGCUUGGACUUUGGGGGUCUUGCUGGCCUAUGGGUCGGCUCCUCUCAAAUGAAUCAGCUUGCCAGUGUUUGGUGGCAUCACAGGUGUGAUAACUAUCUACGCUUGUGGUUUUCCAUCAGGUAACCUUCAGUGAUGGAGGUUCGCUGGGGCUCAUAAAUGUCUCUCCUCAGUGAGGACAGCUUUUUGAAC